CUCAGGACGACGCUGGCGGCGUGCCUAAUACAUGCAAGUCGAACGGUCUUUUCUAUGGAAGCUUGCUUCCACUGAGAAGAUAGUGGCGAACGGGUGAGUAACACGUGGGUAACCUGCCCAUAAGAGGGGGAUAACAUCCGGAAACGGGUGCUAAUACCGCAUAGUUUUCUUGAUCGCAUGAUUGAGAAAGGAAAGACGGCCUUUGUGCUGUCGCUUAUGGAUGGACCCGCGGCGUAUUAGUUAGUUGGUGAGGUAACGGCUCACCAAGACGAUGAUACGUAGCCGACCUGAGAGGGUGAUCGGCCACAUUGGGACUGAGACACGGCCCAAACUCCUACGGGAGGCAGCAGUAGGGAAUCUUCCGCAAUGGACGAAAGUCUGACGGAGCAACGCCGCGUGAGUGAAGAAAGGUUUUCGGAUCGUAAAACUCUGUUGUCAGAGAAGAACAAGUUGGAGAGUAACUGCUCCAGCCUUGACGGUAUCUGACCAGAAAGCCACGGCUAACUACGUGCCAGCCGCUGC
This 522-nucleotide ribosomal RNA is filed under the name uncultured bacterium. RNAcentral's name for it is "bacterial SSU rRNA". It matches the Rfam family "Bacterial small subunit ribosomal RNA", at positions 23 to 518 of the family's 1533-position model. The record is from RNAcentral.